GCCUACGGGGGGCAGCAGUGAGGAAUAUUGGUCAAUGGUCGGGAGACUGAACCAGCCAAGCCGCGUGAGGGAUGAAGGUACAGAGUAUCGUAAACCUCUUUUGUCAGGGAACAAAGGCGGGGACGUGUCCCCGGAUGAGUGUACCUGAAGAAAAAGGAUCGGCUAACUCCGUGCCAGCAGCCGCGGUAAUACGGAGGAUGCGAGCGUUAUCCGGAUUUAUUGGGUUUAAAGGGUGCGCAGGCGGUCUGUUAAGUCAGCGGUUAAAGCCCGGGGCUCAACCCCCGCCCGCCGCUGAAACUGGCACC
Molecule: ribosomal RNA, 305 nt
Filed under: uncultured bacterium
Lineage: Bacteria
Description: bacterial SSU rRNA
Rfam family: Bacterial small subunit ribosomal RNA
Source: RNAcentral